AACUACCGUAUAGUUUAGAAAGUGACGUCACUUCAAGACGACGUCUGUGUCUGUUGACGUCACGACAGUUUUACCUCGACGUUGAGCUCAUUUGGUUCGAAGUGAUCGUUGAUUCGAUUAUUCGACUGUGCUUCACCGUGUCUGGUCCAUUGAUGUCAAACACGUGGUCUGCGGCCUGAUUCAUCUCACGUCAACUACUUGUUGCCACCUCCACUUCCUGGCACGGCCGUGUGACAUGUGGCUGGGGCAA
Long non-coding RNA from Cynoglossus semilaevis (tongue sole), 250 nucleotides. RefSeq lists it as uncharacterized. The record is from RefSeq and is a predicted model, not a curated record. The transcript has 3 exons. NCBI's taxonomy places the organism in Eukaryota, Metazoa, Chordata, Actinopteri, Pleuronectiformes, Cynoglossidae.